Molecule: non-coding RNA, 25 nt
Filed under: Cricetulus griseus (Chinese hamster)
Lineage: Eukaryota; Metazoa; Chordata; Mammalia; Rodentia; Cricetidae
Source: RNAcentral
CACAAGCUAAUAUGGAAACCACAUG